This 1062-nucleotide long non-coding RNA is filed under the name Helianthus annuus (common sunflower). RNAcentral's name for it is "sRNA HanXRQr2_Chr06g0240131". Lineage: Eukaryota; Viridiplantae; Streptophyta; Magnoliopsida; Asterales; Asteraceae. The record is from RNAcentral.
UUACUCAUUAUAAUGUUUUAAAAAAAUAAAAAAAUAAAGAAAUAUGGCAGCCCAAAUUCAGCCAAAUUCAGCCCCAUAUAGUUGGGUUUUGUGGGCUAGUUUCAAGGUGUAACCCCUUCUAAACACUUCCAAAGCCCAACCCAUUGAAACCCUAAUCCUUCCCCCUAUAAAUACCACUUAUAACCAGCCUCCCUACCACUUUUGCAACACUAAAAACUCUCAAAACAUCCUCCAAACCGUAGCUGAAAGCAAGGGUUCGAGUAGAUUGACACCCCUUCACGAAAAUGGGCAUAACUCACUCAAUUCUUAUCCGAUUCACUCGAUUCUUUUUCCUACUUGCUUGUAUAAUCAUGGGGUUCGAUUCCUAGACUUCUCCUUGGAGAAAUCAGACCUGGAAAUGCCCCGAAAUAGUCCAUAAACUUUCUGUUUGUUUUUAUGUUCAUCAAAAACUUGUUUAAACCUAUGCAACUUGUGUCCAACACAUCUCAUACCUAUGUCCUAAUGCUUACAACUUAUCCCAUGGUUGGUUAAGCUUAAAAACAAGGUUGAGACAUUUAAAAUCAGAGGAUUAAACCUCAUAAACUUGGUGUUUUGUUUAGGGUUUUUAACCCACAAGUCAUGUCAAACUUUGUCUUUGAUACAUGAGUGAUUAUGGAACAACUUGGGUUGUCCAAACAUACAAUCCUCACAUGAUUUGAUGAUUUCUCUUAGUUAGUGUGUAUAUUUCUUAUUCUUUAUUGUAUGUUCAUGACCCUCCUUGGUUGUUUUUUUUUACAUCAAGUGUAGUGGUGAACACAUAGAGGUGCCUAAAUGGAAGACUUGAUCUUCCUACCUCCUACAUGACUUCUAUGACAUUUAGAGGUUGAUGAUGAUGAAAUGAAAGAGGUAGCACGAUGCCUAGAUACACACUUUAGACGUUAGAUUUAAAUAUGUUGUAUCGAAUUUUGGUUAUGUUGGUUUGUUAUUUUGAUUAAACUUGUUAUUUGGGAUCUUGUAUUGAUGACUACUUGAAGUUUGGAAAUGAAAUUUGGAUUAUUAAAUUAUUGUCACAAAUAGCGUUAU